This 758-nucleotide long non-coding RNA is filed under the name Homo sapiens (human). Its description in RNAcentral is "HSALNT0130633". Lineage: Eukaryota; Metazoa; Chordata; Mammalia; Primates; Hominidae. The record is from RNAcentral.
UGACGCUAUUGGAGACUCCUGCGGUUUGAUUCAUGUCCAGAGGAAGUUGAGGGGCCCAGAUUCUCUACCUUCAAAACUUCCUAGGCGCGUGGAGGGUGGCGACAGAGGUGCGCGCCUCGGGGGAGACGCGAGGUGGGUCCUCCUUCUGCAGCCGAGUCUGGGCGAGCGCGAGGGGAGCCUCCACGCUGCAGGCUUCUGUGCAGGGGCGGUAAAAUCCGCAGCCCAGAGCUGGAGAAGGAGAAGCAGCUGCUGGGACCCCGGAGGGAAGCCGGGCCGGCGCCAGCGGCUCCGAGGGCGCUCUGCCCAGUGCUGCCUCCCCGGGAAACAGUUCAGGACGCUCAAGACCAGAAGCGGGAGCAAACCCAAAAGGAGCUCCAAGGAGGUGUGUGUGGGGAGAGCCAGGGGGACGCAGGACUAGGCUCUUUCCUGCGCAAGGGGUGGGGAAACCCGCGAAAGCCAGGGAGUCGCGCGCACUCACGCCCUCCCGCCACCAGGGCAGAGCCACCGCUGCAAGGAGCCCACGGGUGCGCGCUCCGCUCCAGGGCGGAUCUUUCCACACCCCCCUCACCCUCAAAAGCUCAGGCUGGAGCGGUCAUCAGUGCGGACUCCGGCACCCCACCCACCCAGCAGGGGUUAAGGAGGGACUGGUGCCCACUCUUGCCUACAGCUCCUGCGCAGGGCUCCAGCCGCCAAAUCUUCCCGGGAUGGUCGGGAGGUGGCAUAAGAGGUUUUGCCAGGAACCACUGCACAGGCGAAAG